Molecule: long non-coding RNA, 2050 nt
Organism: Poecilia latipinna (sailfin molly)
Lineage: Eukaryota; Metazoa; Chordata; Actinopteri; Cyprinodontiformes; Poeciliidae
Exons: 2
Source: RefSeq, a predicted model, not a curated record
CACGUUUCAAGCUUGACCUUUUUUGUACUUUAUUAGCUUUUUAGGUGAACGUCCAACACAAAGUGGUUGUGAAGUAGAAGAAAAUAUUGUUAUGUUUGUUUAUGGGACAUAUGGGUGGCUUGGAAAUAAAAAUGAGAAAAGUACACAAUGCACUUAUAUUCACCCUCCUCAAUUAUUUUCACUGGAUUAUUCUAAGAAAUGAUUAUGCUUUAAUCAAAAAUAUUCCAUUUGAACAUUUUCCCCGUCUUAUGUCUUUUUCAGCCCAAUAUAAAUCUCCACCCAUCUGUUAAUCAACUGAUCAGUUUUCCUAUUCAUGCUGAAGAAAAGCAACCCCACACCACGACUCUGCCACCACCUGGAGUUUGGUGUGAUCACUUUUCAUGGCUUUCUUCCAGCAAUUAUUUUUCCACACUUACAUGAAGUUGAGAUUUGUGGAACUCACAGCUAAUAUCUGUCCUUUCUACUUAUGCUUCCGGCUGAACAUAUCACAUGGUUCUUUGUGCUUAUUAGCUGGGUUUUAAAGGUCAUAGAUUUAUUUAUAUGUACCAGAUUAGAGAGGGCAUAAUACGAAUGCAGAGUGCACUUUUCAGAUUUUUACUUGUAAUUUUUUUUUCUCUGUAUUAUUAUGCAGCACCUUGUUGUAUUCUAUCACAUAAAAGCCAAAUGAAAUACAGUGGAAUUCGUUGUGAGGAAAAGCCACAGCAGCGUAUGUAGCAGUUUUUUUUGUUUGUUUUUUUUUACCUUAACUUCAACUGCACAUAACGAAUCGCUCAAGUGUGAGAGACUGAAGAUGCAAAAAGACAGGCGGCGCCCAGAUACCUGUCACCCUUUUCAUCCAGAGGAAAAUUCAAUGGAGUGUGGAGGAGCUGGCAGCCUCACUACAUCGCUUAGUGCCACGCUGCUUUUAGCGCUCAUGGCCUUGUUCCUUAGGUGACCAAAGCUGGUCCUGACUCACCAUCCACAGCUUGACCUGGUUUGGCUUGGCUCGACGUUAUGAGGAAUUGCAGCGAAGCCACAGAAAACAACAUUUCUGUCCUGUAUGAAACUGUGCCCGAAUUCAAACCCAUCACCAAUAUGAUCCCCAGCCCAGAGGUAUCACCCGUCAGGGUCAUGCAAUAAUUGAAAGGACUGUUCAAAGGAUAAUAUUAAACUUGCUAAGACAACUACAAUCUUUUGGAAAUAUCAUAGGAGCUACAAGGUAAAGAUAGUGGGAGAAAAUUGGUACAAAUAUAACAUUGAAUGUGCUUUUUGACUCUAUGGCCCUUACCAAACCAUGAUUGGGGUUUUCUUCAGUUGUUUGAGAAACCAGGGGUCAAGAACAAGUUCAGUGGUGAAAGUUCUACCUUAGAAAAAAGCCCUGAAAGAUUUUUCAUUCAAAGUGUAGCUUUCGAUGAAGGGUGCUUAGCAUUUCUGGGUGGAUGAGAAUUUUCAACAUUAAUGUCGCCUUUUUCUGUUUUAGUCAGUUUAAUGUGCAGCACAAUCUGCACUUUUGACUUCCGAUAAUCGUAUUGCACGACGGAUUAAGUCUCACUGUAGAGAAGGCUAAAACACACCAGUAGAAGCUUAAAAACAAACAAAAAGAAAAAUCUAGGGCUAUACCCACUGACAGUUGUAACAAAAUGUUCAGUCCUUUCAGGUUGUAGCAAAGGACUGGGGUCUGUAGCUGGGUUUGGAACUGGGCAUUACAGCCACGAAACACCCACAUGGACAGAGAUGGAUGCACUUUCCCCUGGCCUGUUCUGACUUUCCAUGGACUUUUUUUGAUUCUGAAGAUUUAAAAAAAAUAUAUUCUAAAGAUGUUACAUGUGGCUGGGAUUGUUAUAUGAUGUUUGUCUAAUUAUCUUUUUUCCACAAUGAAAAAAAAAAUCUGUUACAAUAUCUACUGUAUAUGGAAAGAAAAAAAAAAGUUUAUUUAUAGUUCGCAAGUGGUACCCAUAAACUGUGACUCAGAGAUCCUCUGAUGUGAGUGGUUGUAAUAAUUAAGCUUUGCCUUAUAAAAAGAUAUCGUUCCUGUUUGUGUACUUUUGAAAUAAAAUAUUGUUUAAAAUGU